UUCCGGUUGAUCCCGCCGGAGGCUACCGCUAUUGGAGUUCGAUUAAGCCAUGCGAGUCGCGAGAAAUUAGAUUCUCGGCGUACCGCUCAGUAACACGUGGGUAACCUGCCCUAUGCUGGAUAAUAACCUCGGGAAACUGAGAAUAAUGAUCCAUAGUUCACUACGCCUGGAACGGUGAGUGGAUGAAAGCUCCGGCGGCAUAGGAUGGGCCUGCGGCGUAUCAGGUUGUAGGGGGUGUAACGUACCCUCUAGCCCUCUACGCGUACGGGUGUUGGGAGACAUAGCCCGGAGAUGGAUUCUGAGACACGAAUCCAGACCCUACGGGGUGCAGCAGGCGCGAAAACUUGGCAAUGCGAGAAAUCGUGACCAGGGAACUCCAAGUGCAUGGGGUAAGACCCAUGCUUUUCUUGACUCUAAAUAGGUCUUGGAAUAAGGGGUGGGUAAGGACGGUGCCAGCCGCCGCGGUAAUACCGGCGCCUCAAGUGGUAGUCGCUUUUAUUGGGCCUAAAACGUCCGUAGCCGGUCUGAUACAUUCGUGGGUAAAUCAACCAGCUUAACUGGUUGAAUUCUGCGAGGACGGUCAGACUUGGGACCGGGAGAGGUGUGGGGUACGCUCAGGGUAGGGGUAAAAUCCUGUCAUCCUGAGCGGACCACCUGUUGCGAAGGCGCCACACUAGAACGGAUCCGACGGUCAGGGACGAAGCCUAGGGGCACGAACCGGAUUAGAUACCCGGGUAGUCCUAGGUGUAAACGCUGUGGACUUGAUGUUGGGGGUGCUCCGAGCACUCUCAGUGUCGAAGCGAAGGUGAUAAGUCCACUGCCUGGGAAGUACGGUCGCAAGGCUGAAACUUAAAGGAAUUGGCGGGGGAGCACCGCAACCUGAGGAUUGUGCGGUUUAAUUGGAGUCAACGCCGGA
Molecule: ribosomal RNA, 916 nt
Filed under: uncultured marine archaeon
Lineage: Archaea
Description: bacterial SSU rRNA
Rfam family: Archaeal small subunit ribosomal RNA
Source: RNAcentral